GUUGGUAAGGUAACGGCUUACCAAGGCAACGAUGCAUAGCCGACCUGAGAGGGUGAUCGGCCACACUGGAACUGAGACACGGUCCAGACUCCUACGGGAGGCAGCAGUAGGGAAUCUUCCGCAAUGGGCGAAAGCCUGACGGAGCAACGCCGCGUGAGUGAUGAAGGUCUUCGGAUCGUAAAACUCUGUUAUUAGGGAAGAACAUAUGUGUAAGUAACUGUGCACAUCUUGACGGUACCUAAUCAGAAAGCCACGGCUAACUACGUGCCAGCAGCCGCGGUAAUACGUAGGUGGCAAGCGUUAUCCGGAAUUAUUGGGCGUAAAGCGCGCGUAGGCGGUUUUUUAAGUCUGAUGUGAAAGCCCACGGCUCAACCGUGGAGGGUCAUUGGAAACUGGAAAACUUGAGUGCAGAAGAGGAAAGUGGAAUUCCAUGUGUAGCGGUGAAAUGCGCAGAGAUAUGGAGGAACACCAGUGGCGAAGGCGACUUUCUGGUCUGUAACUGACGCUGAUGUGCGAAAGCGUGGGGAUCAAACAGGAUUAGAUACCCUGGUAGUCCACGCCGUAAACGAUGAGUGCUAAGUGUUAGGGGGUUUCCGCCCCUUAGUGCUGCAGCUAACGCAUUAAGCACUCCGCCUGGGGAGUACGACCGCAAGGUUGAAACUCAAAGGAAUUGACGGGGACCCGCACAAGCGGUGGAGCAUGUGGUUAAUUCGAAGCAACGCGAAGAACCUUACCAAAUCUUGACAUCCUUUGACAACUCUAGAGAUAGAGCCUUUCCCUUCGGGGGACAAAGUGACAGGUGGUGCAUGGUUGUCGUCAGCUCGUGUCGUGAGAUGUUGGGUUAAGUCCCGCAACGAGCGCAACCCUUAAGCUUAGUUGCCAUCAUUAAGUUGGGCACUCUAAGUUGACUGCCGGUGACAAACCGGAGGAAGGUGGGGAUGACGUCAAAUCAUCAUGCCCCUUAUGAUUU
RNAcentral lists this ribosomal RNA (970 nucleotides) under Staphylococcus sp. RNAcentral's name for it is "bacterial SSU rRNA". It matches the Rfam family "Bacterial small subunit ribosomal RNA", at positions 248 to 1210 of the family's 1533-position model. The record is from RNAcentral. Lineage: Bacteria; Bacillati; Bacillota; Bacilli; Caryophanales; Staphylococcaceae.